This 18-nucleotide ribosomal RNA is filed under the name Ziziphus mauritiana (Indian jujube). RNAcentral's name for it is "partial 18S ribosomal RNA". The record is from RNAcentral. Lineage: Eukaryota; Viridiplantae; Streptophyta; Magnoliopsida; Rosales; Rhamnaceae.
CCUGUGGAAGGAUCAUUU